This is a long non-coding RNA of Ahaetulla prasina, 1570 nucleotides long. RefSeq lists it as uncharacterized. The record is from RefSeq and is a predicted model, not a curated record. Lineage: Eukaryota; Metazoa; Chordata; Lepidosauria; Squamata; Colubridae. The transcript has 3 exons.
CACAAACACUCUUGAACCCCAUUUUCAGAUCAGACUACUUGAGGGAUUUAAGUGGGUUGUAACUGAAUGAAAAUAUGUUGAUUAAUUGAGUCCAUUAUAAGCAUGUUUUUGCCUGUGUCCAUCCCUGGACUGAGAUACAGGUACAACAUUAUUCUCAAGUAUCUAAACACAAGAGUUAAGUUUUUUUAAUGGCAGCGGGAGUAAUACAAGUAAAGAAAGACAGCAAAUCUUCUGAUAACUCUUUAUACACAGAUACACACACACACAAAUCAAUUGCCCUGCAGAAGAAUACUUUAAAAAACUACUCAUACCUCUGCAGAAUACUUUAAAGGAGAAAUGGGAAGUCAGGCAAAGGGGCCAAAUUUUGCUUUGCUGGCCACUUUGCAGUCACAUAGUAUAUUCCCAUUGAAGACAUUCCUUUUCAAAAAAAUAUUACUACAUACCAGUAUUUAUUUAUAACUGUUCAUACUGGGAGGACUUUAAAGGUUAAACAGAACUAAUGGUUAUAGAUAGUGACAGACAUGAUUUCAGAGUGGGUUACAGAAGCGUUACGGUCAAUAGACCCAAGCUACCCAAAUUUUUGCUCUGUAUUUCCAACCCACUUCCUCUGCCACACAACUCUACCUAUCCUGUUUUCAUCAUCCAAUUGAAUUGGAUGUCUGCUGAGGUGAACAAAGCUUCAUUUCUCAUGACUCUCACAAUGUAACGUUAUAGCUAAGGUAGGGGCACCCCUUCCUGCAGAGACUAGAACAACUAGUCUAACCUGUGGCUGAGAAGCUUACACCAUGGUGAGGGAGAUUCUGUGGGUGUGGCUUGGAAUAACAAUGUCCUGCUGGAGCAGGGUUGGGCUAGAUGACCUCCAGGUCCCUUCCAGCCCUGGAUUAUCCUCUGAAGCUGCGUCUAGUGCCAGGAACCAGAUUCUUGAAAGGAUAGCCCCAUCAAGUUAGAAUAAUCCCGAUCCUGAUGUCACUGCCGUGAUUGCCAAUAGACUUCUGGACCCAAUUAAAGUGCUGAUAAUCAUCUUCAAAGCUGUUUACUGCACAUCACUGGAAUAUACUUGGCAACGCCUUGCCAGGAUCAAAUCUGCCCAACUAGACCAGUCAUUAAGUGAAGGCCUGUUAUGGAUUCUCCUUCCUUGGGAGGUACAUGAGAUGUGGGCCAGAUUAACAAGCUUUCUCAGUGGUGAUCCCCACUUACUCAGAAAUACAGGGCUACUAGCAGUCCUAGUUUCAGCAGGAGUUUAGCCCUCAGCAUACUUUAAGCUACAGGAUGUCAAAUGAUAUUUCAUAAUUCUGUCAGGAGCAUUACCAAGCAAGCAAGAUUUUCAUAGUGAACUGCAAAGAGCAAGGAGUUAGGUUAUAUAUAGAAUCUUAGAAAUACGAUACAUGUAUCUUAUCUCUCAUUUAUCAGUGAGAAUUAUUCAAUCAGUGGGGGCAUCCAAUUUUUCCUUUGAUCCUCUUUCUAACUGAGCCCUGGUUGAAUGGGGAGGGUCAUUUAAUACAACAGAAGGGUCCAUCUAUUUUGUUCUGCAAUCUUACAGAAAUAUCUAUUUUCUUCCCCAAGGCCAGAG